Long non-coding RNA from Hemibagrus wyckioides, 991 nucleotides. RefSeq lists it as uncharacterized. NCBI's taxonomy places the organism in Eukaryota, Metazoa, Chordata, Actinopteri, Siluriformes, Bagridae. The transcript has 4 exons. The record is from RefSeq and is a predicted model, not a curated record.
AAAGUAUGAUAUGUUCCUGUUCUGGCAAAUGUUUAUUAUUAUUAUUAUUAUUAAUAAUAAUAAUAAUAAUAAAUGAAGAUUAGUCUGUGCUUUUCAGAAGAAAAAAAUAAAAGUAAAUAUUUGAAUGGAGAGAGUGUCAGAGAGGAGAGGAACCAGGCUGCUACAUCUACAGCCAUCCAUCAGAGUAAGAGCACACAGGAGCAAGUGGCCUAAAGUAAAUAUGAAGCCUGUUAGACUAGAACAGGAAGAGGAAGGGGCGGAGCUUUCAUACUGAGUCCGCAAGUGCAGUGAAGGUGAAAGUGAAAGGAGUUUAGCUUGAUGUGCCCGAGUUCCUCUGAAGCAGAAGAUCAAGAAAAAACUUUAAUAGAAGCCUCAAAGUCUGAAUCUAUAAGAAGAUAUAAAGAUGUCAACUUCAAGAGUUUCUUCAUGGGUAGGUUUAUACUAAAAUUUCCUUGUUUAUUGAUGGUAAUAAAUAAAUACAUUUUAAUAGAGAGCAGCAGAAGAUGUAGAAAGAAGUAGAAAAAUUUACACUGUAUUAUUCAACAGUUCCGGAAUGUUUUUGGGAAAUCUGAAGAGUCAGGGGUAAGUGAAUAAAACUACUAUUUUUCUCUUUUGAAUGGUAAUUUACUUAAAAUGAUUUUAUACACACCAAUCUUUUAUAUGAAAACACUCAUGUAUUCACUAUUUCACAUUCAGACAAUGUUAUUUACUUUAUUUAAACAGAUUUACAUUUAUUUUUGCAGACAUCAUUAUACAGAGCAGCUUAAAUGUAUUCAGUAAGGCAUCUGUGAUCAUCUGAAACUUGAUCUGUGUCUUCAGGACAGAUCCUGAAUGUAGAAAAAACAAUUAUGACUGUGCCUCCAUGUGGUCAAGAACUGUAAUAUCUUUAUUUUUUCCCCCUUAUAUCAUAAUUUGUGCUAACUAGCCCCCCCCCACAUAAUUAUCUGCAAUAUUCUGAAGUAAACACACAUUAACAUUUCAAAAUCAGGUG